UAGUUUUGAUUUUGAUGUAAGAAACACCCGUUAUACUUAUUCAUCCCGUGAAUGUUGGUUGUUUUGAAACACCUGUGAAACUUAUUCAUUUUGAUGUAAAAAACACCUGUGAACCUAGUGUUCAUUUGAUGUACCAACAAGCAUACCAAGUACAAAACACCCGUGAACUUUGUGUUCAUAUUAUACAUAAACAUGUUACAUAAGAAGUACAAGUUCUAGUCGAAGUUUAAACAACAGAAACAUAAGUCAUAAGUUUUGACUCGUACUCAGUAACAAAUGAUAGAGAAUCUACCUUUUGAGACAGCAGGCCACACUGUGUACACAUAGCUCUCAUCUCUUCCAUCACCGCGACGUCCCACCACUUCCAGACAUGGCAAUCUCCGUCAUCCCUGUUCUCACAGGUGUAAAACCUUCUUCCAGGAUCAGUUCUUGUGUAAGACGUCUCUACAACCGGUUGGCCACCACAAUAGCAUUCCUUCGGGAAGCCAUACUCAACCUCUGGCUGCGGAGGGUACACAACCCGCGCGGCAUCAAUCUCGGCUUGGUCCAGCAUGAUAUUAAAUUCUGUUUCGCUGUAUCCACUGUCUGCUGAGUUCUCACCGUAGUCCUCCGACUCUGAAGGCUGUGUGUAGCUAUAAUCCAGCCCCAUUUCUUCUGUAACCUGCAAACGAACAUAAGUUUUUUACUUAAUGAAACAUAAUUCAUGGCAACAGAAUCAUGCAUUAACUUAAUACAUAACUCAACGCAACAAAAUCAAAUAAAGAAGCAUUAUAUUAGACAAGACUUGUUCCCAUUACAUAGCAUCACAGAACAUAGACAUUAAAGAACAUUAUAAAAUAAACUCAACGCAAAAAGAAACAAUAGGAUUAUCUUAGACGCAACACAACCACGGAAAACAAAGAUUGAUUUUUUUUUAGAAAUUAGAACAACUCAGCAAGGAGUAUAUUUUUGACAGCUUCUUCACUCUCACUAAGUGGCUCCUUUCUAGUAAGGAGAGUGUCUAGUACAGCAAGCUUCGAGAGUUUCUCCUUCUUUGCCAAAUCUUCCAUCUUGAGCUCCCACAUGUUCCUAUAGUUCUCAACAGCCUUUCCUUGACUGCUAUUCCUUCGGGCUUUUGCAGCCUUUAUACCUUCAGGCCUUAUCUCUCCCUCACCAACGUUGGUACUUGAAGGUUCGGAAGCGUCCUCACCAGUCUUUCUCUUUGAACUGACAGCAGCUUUAGGAGGGUUCAGGUUAAUCCACUUAUGUUCAUACCUCAAGACACACCACGCAUGCUCAAGGGUAAACUUGGUUCCGUUAUUAGCGUAGAAGAUCUCAUGAGCCACCUUUAGAACGUCAUUGUCACUCUGACCGCUCGUAACUUGUCUCUCUGCUGCGGCAAAUGCGGCACAGAACUUGUUGGUAUGAUCAUUUAUUUUGUGCCACCUUUGCUUACAGUGGACAUGCUCUGUCUUCUCACCAGCCUCUGUCGCACCUGCGAAGUACGCUCCUACGCGUUUCCAGAAGGUCCCGGACUUCUGUUCAUUCCAAUAACAGCAUCCUUUGAUGUGUUUAGCCAGGCACUGAUGAGAACCUCGUCAUCAGCAGGAGUCCAUUUCUUUCUCACCACACGCUCCACUGUUGUCGCAUCAGGUUGGGAUGGAGUCUGAGCUUGCUGCGAACUGAAAGGAGGUAUAUCGGAGCCUCCAAUGUUUACACUAUAAGGAAAACUUUCAGGAGGAAUGUUUUCCUGAACAACAUAUUGUUGUUGACUCGUAAGAAGGCCAAUGUAGCCAGAGUACUGGCUACUUUGAUUUCUGGAAUCCAUAGCAAGAAAGACAGAGCAAAGAGAAUUCCAAAUAAAGCUGAAGGAUGAGCUUUGAGGAGAGUAAUAACACGCUUUGGUUUUAAAGAGAAAUUAAGAGCUAACAUAAAAGACCUAAAAAGCAAUAACUAUCAACCACCUAACUAUUAUCUACCAAAGUCUAAUCAGAACUUAAUACCGUACUUGAACUACAAAGCUAUCACACUCUCAUUUACAAUACAAUCAAUUUUCGUUCUAAACUACAAUGUGUGAUCAGAAGCAACUGUAACAAGCAAUAAUAGACCGCAAAACAUAACUAAAAACCAAUAUACUUACUACAAAAUCGAACUACAACCUAUCAACUCAUGUUUGUCCAUCGCAUACACCAUCAAAGCAAUAAUACACAAUAACAACAUUACCAACAAAACAUGAACACACUACCAAGUUUCGACACUCAUUUUUCAAAACAAUCACAACUUCGGAGACUAGGCAAUAUUAAAGCUACUUAAAUCAGUACAUGUUGAACUGAUUUCGAAUGGCAGAUGAACUAAUAAUCAAAGAUUAACAACAAAAAUCAACUAUAACACUCUCAUACCUAUGGACUGAGACAACCGAAUCCACACACAAGAUUAACAAUAAUAAACCAUAAUCAAAUGGAUUACCAAUCAUAUCAUCUCAAUUGACAUCCUACGGAUCUCGAAUGGAAGAGGAACGCAUACCUUUUGGUUCGAAAACGGAGGAGAAUCGAAGGAUGUCGACCGUGGAGACAACAGAUCGGUCUCAUCUUGCGAACUAACCGAGAGAAUCUCGUUUGCGGCGAGAAAUCGUUGGGAGAAUCUUCUUCAACUGCAUUGCCUUCGAGACUGAAUCGGGAGAGGAAGAGGCUGAAAUGGAUACCGAAUGUCGAGACAAACACUAGACGACUUCGACCCGUGCUCAAAAAUGCCAGCUGGCAUGUAAAGGACCGAAAUGAGAAGUCCCGUAUUAAGGCCCGUCCUUCAUUUUCUCUCAUAUUUUUCAUUUUCUUUUAAGUCCAAAAAGCCUAAGGACGAGCCCAAGGACGUGCGAUAAUCUUGCUCUAAACACAGCAUUUUAAGAACUGGUAAGGACCCCAUAUGUGUCUAUUUCUUAUUGGGAGAUGCCUUUUAGGCAAAAAGGAAGAAAUUUUUUUUGGUCUUUCUUCGUCGAUAUUUCCGAAGUUUUCGUGCAAGAAAAAUUGAAUCGUUUGUGGAGAGAGAGAGAAGAGACGACUGGAUCAAAGUGAAAAGAAGAAGAUUUGAUUUGUAUCCGAAGGGGUUUACAGCAGCGACAGGUACGCGAGUAAGUACGGUCGGCGGCGGAACGAGAUUAUGAUUCAUUUUCCGUUAACCCAUUCAACGGAAACUACGACGAGGAACUUGGUGUCUUCAUCAACUCCUUCGUUACCGACGAAGACACAUCUCAAGAACAGCUUCUCUUCUCCUUCCUCUGUGAUGCUAUUGAGAAUGUUCGUGAUUGUAAGAGACUUUAUGUCUGUUCUAGAUACAGUAUGCAAGUAAAUGGAGGUGACUAGAGGAGAGAGUACUCUGGCUUAGGUUUCAAGUGUAAGGAAGAUCCUAGAAUCUUUCCUGGACUGAUGAUGCAUUGUAUUGCCUCCUUAAUUAGUUAUGUACUUAUGUUUGUAUGAAUCGUUGGUUUAAUAAGUGGGUUAACUAGAAGGGCAUUGAGGUAUUUCUAUCAUGAAAAAAUGUAUAUCUCAUAAAAAAAUGUAUAUCUCAUGCACUAUGUGGAGUAAAAUGAAAUAGAGAAAUAAGAAAGUGGUUCUAGAUGUAA
Brassica napus (rape) is the source of this 3595-nucleotide long non-coding RNA. RefSeq lists it as uncharacterized. The record is from RefSeq and is a predicted model, not a curated record. Lineage: Eukaryota; Viridiplantae; Streptophyta; Magnoliopsida; Brassicales; Brassicaceae. The transcript has 2 exons.